CUUUGGGGGCAUUCGUAUUCAGAUGUCAGAGGUGAAAUUCUAAGAUUUUCUGGAGACGGACUACUGCGAAAGCAUUUGCCUAAUCUAUUUCCAUUAAUCAAGAACGAAAGUUAAGGGAGUGAAGACGAUCAGAUACCGUCGUAAUCUUAACCAUAAACUAUACCGACUAGGUGUUGGAUGAAUAUAAAAAAUAUAUAAAUAUGUAGCAUUUCUUAGGGAAUGUUGAUUUUAUAUUAGAAUUGCUUCCUUCAGUACCUUAUGAGAAAUCAAAGUCUUUGGGUUCUGGGGCGAGUAUUCGCGCAAGCGAGAAAGUUAAAAGAAUUGACGGAAGGGCACCACCAGGCGUGGAGCUUGCGGCUUAAUUUGACUCAACACGGGAAAACUCACUAGUUUAAGACAAGAGUAGGAUUGACAGAUUAAUAGCUCUUUCUUGAUUUCUUGGAUGGUGAUGCAUGGCCGUUUUUAGUUCGUGAAUAUGAUUUGUCUGGUUAAUUCCGAUAACGAACGAGAUCUUAACCUGCUAAUUAGCGGUAAGUACACUAUAUUUUUAUUUGAAAUUGAAUAUAGGUAAUUAUACAUGUUUAUUCAGUGUUCAAAUUAGGAUAUUUUUUUUAUUAAAAUAUUCUUUUCCCUGUUCUACUAUAAUAAUUUGUUUUUUUUUACUCUAUUUCUCUCUUCUUUUAAGAAUGUACUUGUUUGAUUAAAUAAAGCUUCUUAGAGGAACAGUGUGUAUCUAACACAAGGAAGUUUAAGGCAACAACAGGUCUGUGAUGUCCUUAGAUAAACUAGGCUGCACGCGUGCUACAAUGAUAUAUAUAACAAGUUGUUAAAAAUGUACUUAUAAAUAAGUGUGUACAGUUUUUCCUGUACUGAAAAGUAUAGGUAAUCUUUAUCAGUAUAUAUCGUAAUUGGGAUAGAUUAUUGCAAUUAUUAAUCUUGAACGAGGAAUGCCUAGUAAGCAUGAUUCAUUAGAUUGUGCUGACUACGUCCCUGCCCUUUGUACACACCGCCCGUCGCUCCUACCGAUUGAAAGAUAUGAUGAAUUGUUUGGAUAUGAAUUAAAAUAAUGAAAUUUUAUAUUUCUGAUUUUUUCUAGAAGAACUGUAAAUCCUAUCUUUUAAAGGAAGGAGAAGUCGUAACAAGGUUUCCGUAGGUGAACCUGCGGAAGGAUCAUUA
Molecule: non-coding RNA, 1176 nt
Filed under: Plasmodium falciparum Palo Alto/Uganda
Lineage: Eukaryota; Apicomplexa; Aconoidasida; Haemosporida; Plasmodiidae
Description: Eukaryotic small subunit ribosomal RNA
Rfam family: Eukaryotic small subunit ribosomal RNA
Source: Rfam by way of RNAcentral